RNAcentral lists this long non-coding RNA (3183 nucleotides) under Homo sapiens (human). Its description in RNAcentral is "HSALNT0381482". The record is from RNAcentral. Lineage: Eukaryota; Metazoa; Chordata; Mammalia; Primates; Hominidae.
GCUGGGAUGAUGGUCCUGAGCCACUGCAUCUGGCCUAACUGCUUUUAACCACCUUUAUUUUUCAAGAAUUUUUGGCUUGACACAUCCAGAGCCCAAACAGAAGAGGUCUUCAGAUUUGACCCACGCAUUUCUUGCCAGAAGAAUUUAUAUAUGAAGGCGUUGUGCAAGUUAUUAAUGUUAAAAGGAAUUUCCUCCUCCAGUAAAAAAUCUGAAAUAAAAUUAAUAUUGGCACAAUCUGAGACUAAGAAGAGACACUGGCCAUCCAGGAGUUUCCAUAGGCCACGCUCCAAUGUGAGCUUUCACCACUAGAGGGCGUGAUCUGAAUUGUGCACUCAGCGUUUCUUCCAAGAGUAAUCGUUCCCAACAAGGAAAGACCGUUUUACAGCCCUCAGUACCGCAGUUCCAUGAACUUGCUCAGCUUGGCAGCCGCAGCUAAGGACACCCGUGGUAGUAAAAGCGGGAAGAUGGGCUCCCUGGCUCUUCUUACCAAACUCUGAUUGUUUGGAGCAGUUUGACCAUCAUUUAGCCAGGAAGACACCAGAAGGAUGGCGUGCUGGCCACCAUUGCAUUGCCAGCACAUGAGAGUAGGUGUGUGAAAUGUACACCCUGGGUACACAGAAUUGCCUGCAGACAAAUAUUUAUUGACAGUUAAGAAAAUGCAUUAAGAAUGAGCAUGAGUUCCUGUCCUUAAGAGAGUGCUAGAAGGGAGACUGCUGUCCCCACAAUGGCUGCAGCCCCAUUCCUUUUUCCAAGCUGCCUGGGUGAACAUUCCAGGAUCCUGACAUUCUGUGGAAAUUGAUGAGUGCUUGCUCAAAGGUCGAUGAUGUGCUACAGAUGGCAUCACCUGUUAGAGACAGAGCUUUCUCAAGAGGAGCUUUGAUUUCCUUUACUUCCCGAACUGCUAUUUCACAGUCUCUCAGUAGAUGUCAGCAGCACAGCAAACAUCUCACUGCCCAUCAUGGAAGCAGGAAACCGAGGCUCCAGAGAGCUGGGUAUCUUUCCAAGGCCUUGACACUGGGAGGUGAUGAGUCACGGUUGGCUCUAAAGCCCAAGCUCUUUUCUUCACACCUUGAUGCCGUCUAGCCUGUCCAUGGACCAAUUAGAGCCAGUGACCAACAGGUAUAUCAAAAUGACAUCCCUCCUGGAUGGCACAUCCUCCCCAGACAGCCUGCCCAUUCCCUGGCUCUGACAGGCUAGCAAAUCCCUGAUAACCUCGGAAUGCCUCAAGUUGUGUCAAUGAAGGGCAUUGAGACUUUGAUGUUGGACAGAUGCCCCAUGAUGGAUGGGCACUGGCUGAUACAGUUUCCCACGGUGACUCAGAAGUGCGAAGGAGAAAGGAGGGCUGAGGUGCCAGCUCCAGGCAGGCCAGGCACCCCAGAUGUCAGCACCUGCCCGACUGCCUCUGACAUACCCUCAGACAUACCUUUUGGCAUGUGGAGCCCCAGGUGCCUUUCUUCAUGUCCAGAUAGGAAGACUCAUCUUAAGGGGUGUGGCAGCAACUGAGCAUGUGUACCACCACCUGAGCUGUAGUUCUUGUUUCUGUAAGAGAAAAUGCUCCCACAUUAUCCUACUACACUCUAGACCUCAAAGGUGAGGCAGAGCGUGAGUCAAGGGAUCUGAAAUGAAAGCAGUUGUAGUGAAAAGCCCAUGAAAUAUAGCGCUCAAGGGUAGCUGAGUCUUGCAGGCUGUAAUUUAUGCUGUUUCCUGCUUUGAGAAUGUAUCCCAACCUUUUGGUUACUAGAAAGCCUCAAUUUGAAUAGUAAAAGACCUGAAUUCUGGGUCCUCUAACUUCUCUUCAUGUGUGGCUCAGUCUAACCUGUAGUUUAAGACUCAGACACCAUGCCUUCCAGGAAGCCUUCCUUGAUGUCUCCAAUUCUACAUUAAUUCCUCCAGUAUGAGCUUCCACAGUAACUUAAUCUUACCCUGAGGUGUCUAUAUCAAACUGCUUCCUCACUUGAGGGAAGGCACCAGGUCUUGUUUACAUUUUUGCUCUAUAUCACUACAACACAAGAGAGAAUGUGAUAAAGGUUGUAACAGACCCAGAAAAACCACUCUAGGAGCUCUGAGAAGGGUAGUUCAUGUAAAUACACACACAUAUACAUAUAGUUCAUGUAAAUAUAUGUAUGUAUACACACACACACACACACACACACAGCCUUCAUCAAGGAAGAGAUUGCUCUUAGGAUGUUUUCAGAUUCAAGAUGCUGUAAAAUUUGUAUUGAUGAUUGCUUUUCUUUCUAUCCCUUGUAAUUUCUACACUUACAGCUCAUUGUUCUUCUCAUAGCAUUAAAGUCUUCAGCAUCUGGCAUGAGUGGCUUGUUUUUUUUGUUGUUGUCGUUGUUAAAAAAAAAAAAAAGUACGUUAGACUAUAUUGAGCAGAUCCAUUGAAUAACCACAUUCAGCAUACCUAACAGUCAUAGGAUGUGACUUCAUUUGAGGCACAGCGAUAUCAUUUGCUUGGAUCCUUUCCAUGGUCUUGUUGGGUCGAAUGGCUUUGGUUAAUUGCUGUUACGAACAAGCUGGGGUUCAGGCAGGUUUAGGUCACCAGGCAGGGCUCAGCCCAUAAACCAGAACAUGGAUCUCCUAAGCCCCAGUCAGGGUUCCUUUCCUUUUGGUAACAGCAGGUCCCCUUUGGCCCACAGUCGACUCACAUUUGUUUCCCCAGGGUGUGGAUGGCUACAGGAAAGAGGCCAAGUAGAAGCUGGGGGUGCAGGAGGUUGGGCCAAAGUCAGAGUCCUUGAAAGAUAAAGGUUGAAGGACCAGGACAGGAGACUGUCGAGAGUGAGAAGAAGAGUCCUGGGCUGGCUGUGUGACCCCAGCAAGCCAUGCAUCUGCUCCAGCCAUCAGAAAACCUGUGCACUGUUGGUCUCUGCAGGACCUUCUAGCAUGUAUAUUCCAUAAGUCUAAUUCUAGAAACUCACAAUUUUUGAACAUAAUGAAAAGAAUGAAUCAAAACUUGGAGUUUCAUCAUCUAGCUCUUUUGCUGUCACCCUCUUUGUAUGAUAAAGCGUAUCCCCUGGAGGGCAGAGUCUAUUUUCUCCGUAUUUACAUAAAUAUAUUGAAGGAGACCACCUUGUCUUUUUUUUUUUCCCCUCAAAUGGGAAGUAGCAUUAUACAUUUUCCCUAUUAUAAAGGAAAUUUUGAAAUACAACUCUUACAUAAGAAAAUUCACAAAUACAUAAA